Molecule: ribosomal RNA, 383 nt
Filed under: uncultured soil bacterium
Lineage: Bacteria
Description: bacterial SSU rRNA
Rfam family: Bacterial small subunit ribosomal RNA
Source: RNAcentral
AGGACGAACGCUGGCGGCGUGCUUAACACAUGCAAGUCGAGCGGUAAGGCCUUUCGGGGUACACGAGCGGCGAACGGGUGAGUAACACGUGGGUGAUCUGCCCUGCACUCUGGGAUAAGCCUGGGAAACUGGGUCUAAUACCGGAUAUGACCUGCUCUCGCAUGGGGGUGGGUGGAAAGAUUUAUCGGUGCAGGAUGGGCCCGCGGCCUAUCAGCUUGUUGGUGGGGUAAUGGCCUACCAAGGCGACGACGGGUAGCCGACCUGAGAGGGUGACCGGCCACACUGGGACUGAGACACGGCCCAGACUCCUACGGGAGGCAGCAGUGGGGAAUAUUGCACAAUGGGCGAAAAGCCUGAUGCAGCGACGCCGCGUGAGGAGUGAA